GGGGAAUAUUGCGCAAUGGACGGAAGUCUGACGCAGCGACGCCGCGUGAGCGACGAAGGCCUUCGGGUCGUAAAGCUCUGUUCUUGGGGACGAAUAAAGUGACGGUACCCAAGGAGCAAGCCCCGGCUAACUACGUGCCAGCAGCCGCGGUAACACGUAGGGGGCAAGCGUUGUCCGGAAUUACUGGGCGUAAAGGGCGUGUAGGCGGCCAUGUAUGUCAGGUGUGAAAGGCCUCGGCUUAACCGAGGCAUUGCACAUGAAACUGUAUGGCUUGAGUGCAGGAGAGGGGAGUGGAAUUCCUAGUGUAGCGGUGAAAUGCGUAGAUAUUAGGAGGAACACCAGUGGCGAAGGCGACUUCCUGGACUGUAACUGACGCUGAGGCGCGAAAGCGUGGGUAGCAAAC
This 403-nucleotide ribosomal RNA is filed under the name uncultured bacterium. Its description in RNAcentral is "bacterial SSU rRNA". It matches the Rfam family "Bacterial small subunit ribosomal RNA", at positions 356 to 773 of the family's 1533-position model. The record is from RNAcentral.